This 203-nucleotide long non-coding RNA is filed under the name Elaeis guineensis (African oil palm). RNAcentral describes it as "long non-coding RNA (EGUI_LNC063203)". The record is from RNAcentral. Lineage: Eukaryota; Viridiplantae; Streptophyta; Magnoliopsida; Arecales; Arecaceae.
AGUUUGGUUUUGGGUAGGAGAUAAGAGUCCAAACAUCCUAGGACUCUUCUAUAUGAUGCCGCCCACCUUCCUAUUUUUUGUGCGCCUCUCUCUUACACAUUAUAGGUAAAAAAGAGAAGAGCUUUCAUCACACAAAAUAAGUGGGGCAUGGGAUAUUUUGUGGCGUCCAAAAUCUGGUUGGGCAUGGGACUCCUUAUGGUGCA